This 308-nucleotide ribosomal RNA is filed under the name uncultured bacterium. RNAcentral describes it as "partial 16S ribosomal RNA". It matches the Rfam family "Bacterial small subunit ribosomal RNA", at positions 505 to 808 of the family's 1533-position model. The record is from RNAcentral.
GAGACAGCAGCCGCCGCGGUAAUACGUAGGGGGCAAGCGUUGUCCGGAAUUAUUGGGCGUAAAGCGCGCGCAGGCGGUUUUUUAAGUCUGGUGUCUAAGUGCGGGGCUCAACCCCGUGACGCACUGGAAACUGGGAGACUUGAGUGCAGAAGAGGAGAGCGGAAUUCCACGUGUAGCGGUGAAAUGCGUAGAGAUGUGGAGGAACACCAGUGGCGAAGGCGGCUCUCUGGACUGUAACUGACGCUGAGGCGCGAAAGCGUGGGGAGCAAACAGGAUUAGAGACCCCCGUAGUCCCUGUCUCUUAUACA